This is a non-coding RNA of Dictyocaulus viviparus (bovine lungworm), 77 nucleotides long. NCBI's taxonomy places the organism in Eukaryota, Metazoa, Nematoda, Chromadorea, Rhabditida, Metastrongylidae. The record is from Rfam.
GCCUCAGUACUGUAAUGGAUUACAGAGCACGGCAGACCGGAUAUCUGUAAGUGCGGGUUCCAAUCCUGCCUGAGGUU